AGUCGAGCGAACAGAUAAGGAGCUUGCUCCUUUGACGUUAGCGGCGGACGGGUGAGUAACACGUGGGUAACCUACCUAUAAGACUGGGAUAACUUCGGGAAACCGGAGCUAAUACCGGAUAACAUUUGGAACCGCAUGGUUCUAAAGUGAAAGAUGGUUUUGCUAUCACUUAUAGAUGGACCCGCGCCGUAUUAGCUAGUUGGUAAGGUAACGGCUUACCAAGGCGACGAUACGUAGCCGACCUGAGAGGGUGAUCGGCCACACUGGAACUGAGACACGGUCCAGACUCCUACGGGAGGCAGCAGUAGGGAAUCUUCCGCAAUGGGCGAAAGCCUGACGGAGCAACGCCGCGUGAGUGAUGAAGGGUUUCGGCUCGUAAAACUCUGUUAUUAGGGAAGAACAAAUGUGUAAGUAACUGUGCACAUCUUGACGGUACCUAAUCAGAAAGCCACGGCUAACUACGUGCCAGCAGCCGCGGUAAUACGUAGGUGGCAAGCGUUAUCCGGAAUUACUGGGCGUAAAGCGCGCGUAGGCGGUUUCUUAAGUCUGAUGUGAAAGCCCACGGCUCAACCGUGGAGGGUCAUUGGAAACUGGGAAACUUGAGUGCAGAAGAGGAAAGUGGAAUUCCAUGUGUAGCGGUGAAAUGCGCAGAGAUAUGGAGGAACACCAGUGGCGAAGGCGACUUUCUGGUCUGUAACUGACGCUGAUGUGCGAAAGC
This 718-nucleotide ribosomal RNA is filed under the name uncultured Staphylococcus sp. Its description in RNAcentral is "bacterial SSU rRNA". It matches the Rfam family "Bacterial small subunit ribosomal RNA", at positions 60 to 760 of the family's 1533-position model. Lineage: Bacteria; Bacillati; Bacillota; Bacilli; Caryophanales; Staphylococcaceae. The record is from RNAcentral.